This 253-nucleotide ribosomal RNA is filed under the name uncultured bacterium. RNAcentral describes it as "partial 16S ribosomal RNA". It matches the Rfam family "Bacterial small subunit ribosomal RNA", at positions 524 to 776 of the family's 1533-position model. The record is from RNAcentral.
UACGGAGGAUCCGAGCGUUAUCCGGAUUUAUUGGGUUUAAAGGGUGCGCAGGCGGGAGAUUAAGUCGGCGGUGAAAUUUUGCAGCUUAACUGUAAAAGUGCCUUCGAAACUGGUUUCCUUGAGUGUAGAUGAAGUAGGCGGAAUUUGUGGUGUAGCGGUGAAAUGCAUAGAUAUCACGAGGAACUCCGAUUGCGCAGGCAGCUUACUAAACUACUACUGACGCUCAGGCACGAAGGCGUGGGGAUCAAACAGG